UACGUAGGGGCCGAGCGUUGUCCGGAGUUACUGGGCGUAAAGCGCGCGCAGGCGGCCAUGCGCGCCCGGCGUGAAAGCCCCCGGCUCAACCGGGGAGGGUCGUCGGGGACGGCAUGGCUUGAGGGCGGUAGGGGCCGGUGGAAUCCCUGGUGUAGCGGUGAAAUGCGCAGAUAUCAGGAGGAACACCGGUGGCGAAGGCGGGUCUCUGGGCCGAUACUGACGCUGAGGAGCGAAAGCGUGGGGAGCGAACAGG
This 253-nucleotide ribosomal RNA is filed under the name uncultured bacterium. RNAcentral's name for it is "partial 16S ribosomal RNA". It matches the Rfam family "Bacterial small subunit ribosomal RNA", at positions 524 to 776 of the family's 1533-position model. The record is from RNAcentral.